RNAcentral lists this ribosomal RNA (496 nucleotides) under uncultured bacterium. RNAcentral's name for it is "partial 16S ribosomal RNA". It matches the Rfam family "Bacterial small subunit ribosomal RNA", at positions 28 to 506 of the family's 1533-position model. The record is from RNAcentral.
GAUGAACGCUGGCGGCGUGCCUAAUACAUGCAAGUCGAGCGAACAGACGAGGAGCUUGCUCCUCUGACGUUAGCGGCGGACGGGUGAGUAACACGUGGAUAACCUACCUAUAAGACUGGGAUAACUUCGGGAAACCGAAGCUAAUACCGGAUAAUAUAUUGAACCGCAUGGUUCAAUAGUGAAAGACGGUUUUGCUGUCACUUAUAGAUGGAUCCGCGCCGCAUUAGCUAGUUGGUAAGGUAACGGCUUACCAAGGCAACGAUGCGUAGCCGACCUGAGAGGGUGAUCGGCCACACUGGAACUGAGACACGGUCCAGACUCCUACGGGAGGCAGCAGUAGGGAAUCUUCCGCAAUGGGCGAAAGCCUGACGGAGCAACGCCGCGUGAGUGAUGAAGGUCUUCGGAUCGUAAAACUCUGUUAUUAGGGAAGAACAAAUGUGUAAGUAACUAUGCACGUCUUGACGGUACCUAAUCAGAAAGCCACGGCUAACUACGU